GUCUAUGGCUAUGCUACCCUGAACAAGCCCAAUCCCAUCUGGUCUUGGAAGCUAAACAGGGUCAGGCCUGGUUAGUACUUGAAUGGAAGAUCACCUAGGAAGACCAGGUGUUAUAGGCG
RNAcentral lists this ribosomal RNA (119 nucleotides) under Pteropus alecto (black flying fox). The record is from RNAcentral. Lineage: Eukaryota; Metazoa; Chordata; Mammalia; Chiroptera; Pteropodidae.